AUCAGUGUCAGCGACACUUACUAUAAUUCAAAGCCACACAAGCUUCAAACUAAAGAUCUGUGAUGCAGUGACAGCCUGUCAAGGUGGUAGCAUGACUCUCUUAGUGACGGAUGGAAUUGGCUAGUCCCCCUGUGACCCUGAAAAGAACAAACUGUUCCCUUGAGGGGUCGCCACUGAGGAUCAUCCGCCUCCAUCUAACCUUAUCAUCUGCAUCCUCCUCACUCUCACCAACCCUCAGGUCCUCCUUCACAACAUCCAUAAGCCUUUUCUUCUGUUCUACUCAAGGCCUCUUUCCUGGUAGCUUCUAGCUCAGCAUCUUAUUACCAACAUCAUCCCCGUUCCUCCUCCAACCAAACCACCAUGUUUCUUGCAUUUAUCGCCCAAACAUCUAACAUGAGCUUCCCCUUUGAUGGAUUCAUUCCUGAUCCAUCUUCGCUACUCCCAAAGAGAACCUCAAAAUCUUCAGCUCUGUCUCUCCCUCAGAGCCACUAUCUCUAAGCCGACAAUUUGGUAGGUCAUGCUUGUGCUGUGAAAAAAAUACUAAUAAAAAGGAAAAAACAUAC
Molecule: non-coding RNA, 563 nt
Organism: Oryzias latipes (Japanese medaka)
Lineage: Eukaryota; Metazoa; Chordata; Actinopteri; Beloniformes; Adrianichthyidae
Source: RefSeq, a predicted model, not a curated record